Poeciliopsis prolifica (blackstripe livebearer) is the source of this 283-nucleotide long non-coding RNA. RefSeq lists it as uncharacterized. The record is from RefSeq and is a predicted model, not a curated record. Lineage: Eukaryota; Metazoa; Chordata; Actinopteri; Cyprinodontiformes; Poeciliidae. The transcript is spliced from 3 exons.
AAAACCUUUCUCUCCUAUCCGUUGAGAAAGACCUGCUGAACACCGAGCUUGACGCAACAUGUCCUGACGACUGGUUCACGUUCAACAGCUCUUGUUACCAAGCCUCUGAUAACAAGACUUCAUCCUGGGAUGAAGGCAGAGCGGACUGCUUCAGAAAAGGAGGAGAUCUGGUGGUGAUAAAUGAUCCUGAGGAGCAGCAAUUUCUUGCUGAAUUCAAGAUGGACGCAUGGAUUGGUUUGAGCGACCGGGAAACUGAGGGAUCCUGGCUGUGGGUUGAUGGAAC